Molecule: ribosomal RNA, 497 nt
Filed under: uncultured bacterium
Lineage: Bacteria
Description: partial 16S ribosomal RNA
Rfam family: Bacterial small subunit ribosomal RNA
Source: RNAcentral
GAUGAACGCUGGCGGCGUGCCUAAUACAUGCAAGUCGAGCGAACGGACGAUAAGCUUGCUUUUCUGAUGUUUGCGGCGGACGUGUGAGUAACACGUGUAUCACCUACCUAUAAUUCUGGUAUAACUUCGGGAAACCGGAUCUUAUACCGGAUAAUAUUUUGAACCGCAUGGUUCAUAAGUGAAAGACGGUCUUUCUGUCUCUUAUAGAUGCUUCCGCGCUUCAUUAGCUAGUUGUUAAGGUAACGGCUUACCAAGGCAACGAUGCAUAGCCGACCUGAGAGGGUGAUCGGCCACACUGGAACUGAGACACGGUCCAGACUCCUACGGGAGGAAGCAGUAGGGAAUCUUACGCAAUGGGCGAAAGCCUGACGGAGCAACGCCGCGUGAGUGAUGAAGGUCUUAGGAUCGUAAAACUCUGUUAUUAGGGAAGAACAUAUGUGUAAGUAACUGUGCACAUCUUGACGGUACCUAAUCAGAAAGCCACGGCUAACUACGUG